GAUGAACGCUGGCGGCGUGCCUAAUACAUGCAAGUCGAGCGAACGGACGAGAAGCUUGCUUCUCUGAUGUUGGCGGCGGACGGGUGAGUAACACGUGGAUAACCUACCUAUAAGACUGGGAUAACUUCGGGAAACCGUAGCUAAUACCGGAUAAUAUUUUGAACCGCAUGGUUCAAAAGUGAAAGACGGUCUUGCUGUCACUUAUAGAUGGAUCCGCGCUGCAUUAGCUAGUUGGUAAGGUAACGGCUUACCAAGGCAACGAUGCAUAGCCGACCUGAGAGGGUGAUCGGCCACACUGGAACUGAGGCACGGUCCAGACUCCUACGGGAGGCAGCAGUAGGGAAUCUUCCGCAAUGGGCGAAAGCCUGACGGAGCAACGCCGCGUGAGUGAUGAAGGUCUUCGGAUCGUAAAACUCUGUUAUUAGGGAAGAACAUAUGUGUAAGUAACUGUGCACAUCUUGACGGUACCUAAUCAGAAAGCCACGGCUAACUACGUG
This 497-nucleotide ribosomal RNA is filed under the name uncultured bacterium. Its description in RNAcentral is "partial 16S ribosomal RNA". It matches the Rfam family "Bacterial small subunit ribosomal RNA", at positions 28 to 507 of the family's 1533-position model. The record is from RNAcentral.